UAGAAAAUUGCGGACACUGCCUGCUCUGCCAUAGUUUGAUAUGCAAUUUUCUUUCCCUGUUGCAUCCAGCAAAUGCCUUUCCCGUGUCAUUUAACACGUGGUUCUAAGAGAAAGCCCCAAAGUUUCAAGGAUGAAGAUCACUAUAUAAGUUCAAUACCAAAAAAUCAACAUAUGGAGGCUGGCCUUUCAGUAAAAGCCAAUGAAGGCUU
This is a long non-coding RNA of Vigna radiata var. radiata (mung bean), 209 nucleotides long. RefSeq lists it as uncharacterized. The record is from RefSeq and is a predicted model, not a curated record. The transcript is spliced from 3 exons. NCBI's taxonomy places the organism in Eukaryota, Viridiplantae, Streptophyta, Magnoliopsida, Fabales, Fabaceae.